Gallus gallus (chicken) is the source of this 6087-nucleotide long non-coding RNA. RefSeq lists it as uncharacterized. NCBI's taxonomy places the organism in Eukaryota, Metazoa, Chordata, Aves, Galliformes, Phasianidae. The record is from RefSeq and is a predicted model, not a curated record. The transcript is spliced from 10 exons.
GUGGGCGCCGCCAUCUUGUGCGGGGCACGCUGCGCAGCGGCGGGGAGGAGCCGGGGGCGGGCCCGGCGCGGAGGGGAGCGGUGUAACUGCCCGCCCCAGCCGUGCGGCGUGACUGAGGUGUCGGCAGCCCUCGUGGAAGCGUUGUGUCUCCCACGAUGAUGAAGAAAAUGGGCACAGAAAUAACGAUGCGUUGGCUGAUCCUUCAUUUUUCCCCCAGCCUGUCAUCCCCGAGUGCCAGGAUUUCAGAUGUCUUCAGUCUAAAGUCUUGUACACUACUUGUCUUGUAAAUCGGGUCUUCAGUUUUGAGUAAUUCAUUUGGCAGAACUUAGAUCAGGUGGCUGAAUUAGUAGGAUUGCAACGUUAUUAGUUUAAAACGCACACUAGAAUUUGUGAAGCUUCUAAAUCAGAGCCUGCUGAAAACACUGUUUUGGUUUAAGCUUAGGAAGUGUGAGAUAGAGGAGCGGAUGGUGAGGUGUGUUGAGGUCUGGCUGACUGGCAGAGCUCAGAGUUGGCAUCGGUGGUGCAGUCUGGUUGGAAGCCUGUAACUAGCUGUGUUCCUCAGGCAUCGGUGCUGGGUCCAGUCUUGUUCAGUAUCCCUUCAUCAAUGACCUCAAUGAAGGGAUGGAGUCCACCCUCAGCAAGUUUGCUAAUGAUACAAACCUGGGAGGAGUGGCUGACAUACCAGAAUGCUGUGCUGUUGUUCAGGAAGCCCCAGACAGAAUGGAGACUUGAGAAGAAAGGAACCUUAUGAGGUUCAACAAGAGCAGCCGUAGAGUCCUAUGCCUGAGGAGCAAUAACUGCAUGCAUAAAUGCUGAUUAGGGGCUGGCCUGCUGGAAAAAGCUCUGCAGAGAAGGACCUGGGUGUCCUGGUCGACAACAGGUUAGCCAUGAGUCCGCAAUGUGGCCUUGUGGCCCAGAAGGCCAAUGGUAUCCUGGGGUGCAUUAAAAAGAGCAUGGCCAGCAGGUCAAGGGAGGUAAUCCCUCUACUCUGCCCUGGUGAGGUCACAUCUGGUGUACUGUGUCCAGUUCUGGACUCCUCCAUUAAAAAAAGAUAGUGAUAAUCUAGAGAGAGCCCAGUGGAAGGCCACAAAGAUGAUUCAGGGCCUGGAGCAUCUCCCUUAUGAAGAUAGGCUGAGAGCCGUGGGACUGUUCAUCCUGGAGAAGAGAUGGCUGAGGGGGGAUCUUAUCAAUGUUUAUAAAUAUCCAGUGGGUGGGGGUCAAGUGGAUGGGGCCAGGCUCUUUUCAGUGGUGUGUGGUGACAAGAACAAGAGGCAAUGGGCAAAAACAGAAACACGGGAAGUUCCAUGUGAACAGGAGGAAAUACUUCUUUACUUUGAGGGUGACAGCACUGGAAUUGCCCAGAGAGACUGUGGAGUCUCCUUCUCUGGAGAUAUUCAAGAUCCACCUGGACACUUUGCUGCAUAACCUACUGUAGGGAACCUGCUUUAUGUAGGACUUGAUGAUCUCCAGAGGUUUCUUCCAACCACAACAGUUCAGCAUCCUUGAAUGUAUUCUACUUGCCUGUUAACUUCCUUGUUCUUUCCCAUUGCAUUCUUGAAAUAAAUCAGUGCUGUUGGUAGCACAAAGAGAGCAGCUUGCACAAGCCACAUGGCACUUAAAGGAACUUUGACACCAAUAAAAACAACGUGCUUGUUUUUUCUAGCACUUUCCAGAACUGUUCACUCCUCCUUUUACUUCAUGCUUCAUUUUAGGAAAGUAAUGUGGAUGACACUGAAGAAACAUUGCGAAUCCUGGUUAAUAUGGCUCGAUGUUUUAAAAGUGUGCUGUUGUAGUAGGAAGUCGGUAGUAGUUAAAUGGUGUGAACAGCAAGACUGGGUAUAAACAAUUAUAUUCACCCUUUUGAUUAUUUCGUCCAUUGUGGUCCUUUUCAACCCAGACCAUUCUAUGAUAUUACACAGCUUUUACAACAAGCCCUUCCAGUUUGGACAAUCCUGCUAUGUAUAUUGACCACAUAGAUAAGCAGUGUCAGACUGUGUAUUUCAGAAGUGAACUAACAUCCUAAAAUAGGAGAUAUUUAGAUUGUCCAAUCCCCUCUGAGUUAACACAGCCCGGAAAAGACGUUUAUUGAAGGCUUGAACAGUUCAAUAUAACAAUUCAGAUAAAAAUCUAUCAUCUUUUUAAUGCAAUAUUUUAAGUCAGGAGGGGAGCAUUCUUGUGUGUAGCAGCUCUGAUCACCUCCGAAUUACUAAACUGAUCUCCGCAUGGCACACACAUAUUGACAGUGGUUCCAGGGUGGUUCUAAGGGGGAAACAAAGAGUUUAUAGAACUCUGAAGCAUGGGAGAGAAGGAAGAUGUUUUUAAGCAUUCAUUUUUCUGUUCAAAAGUCACUGCCUUGAAGAUUUCUUGCUAACAGAACUGCGGGUAAGUGAAAUAUGGAAUUGCUCCAUUCUAUCACACUGGGGAGAAACAAGAUGGAAAAGAGAGCAGAUUUGGUGGAAAACAGUACAAAACAAAAAAAGGUGGACUGCAUACCUGGACGCAAGCACGUAAUGCUUGUGCUAGCUAUGUAAGAAAAAGUGCUGUGAAGUACUUUAUGUCACUAGGUUGAUAGUUGUAUACUUAUUUUUACUUUUUUUUACGCAAAUAACUAAUCAGCAUCCUUCAUGAUACAUUUCCUAUUUCAAGUCUUUCCUGUGAAUUUCUUCUUGCCUUAAAUGGAGAUAUACAAAUCCUUGGAGAGGAUGGGCUUGAGUCUUCUCCUCCUGCACUGGCUGUAUGUUAUUCUAAGUUAUGCCACUUAAAUUUAGUAUAUUUUCACUAAUCGUAGUAUUUGGUUUUCCUAAUUUUGUUCCUUACAUAGCAAGCAAGUGAAAUUUUCCUGAAAGUAGUGAGACUGAUGUUAGGCAGUACAGAUAGCUGAUACACAAUCUUCUGGCAUAUCUGUCAGUAUGUCUGUCUUAAUUUUACUAAUACUAAUUUUAUGACAUUAGCGCCUUUUUUCCAAGACUAUUUGAUUAACUUCUAUUUAUAUUGUUUCUUUCCUCAGGUUCUUUCGUUCCUCUCCUGAAGAAAGAAGAGAUGUGCAUCUUAGCUCUACAAAUGGAAAAUUCACUAAGUGAAUCACAAAAAGUUAAUAAGCUGAACACUUGUCCUCCCACCCUCUGAGCCUCUGUUUCCCUUCUAUUCACCAAAGAUUGUGUUUUGUUGAUCCCAGCUCCUUCAAGGAGGUGACAGGUGGUGCAGGAGGUUGGUGCCUUGUGUUUAUUGCGUCUCCGUGCUUCUUCUAGUUUCCCUCUGCUCUUCCGUGCUUCCUACUGGCCCUGUCCUGGCAUGGGUUGUCUGUGGACUGCAGUCUCUCAGGGGUGAUCCUGUCCUGUGUGGGUCUGUUGUGGCCACAGUCACACAGUUGGGAUUUUAAAUAAUUGUAUACAUGUAUUCUAAUAUCUCUUAUUAUAAAUUAAAGCUUUUUGAGGUUUGGAAGCUCCAUAAAUGUCUGCUUCCUGCUGUGAGUAUCCUUUGAAUAGUGUUUAUGUUUGUUUGAAGCUGCACCUUGUUACUUCUUUCUCCUGUUUUUCUAUUCCAUAGUAGACCAACUGUCAGGGUAUUAAUCUCCCUAUUUUUUUAGCACUUAACAAACUUAGGGGCUUUCCAGAGAUCUACUUCUUACCCCUUUCUGGACUCCAGUCAAAAUAUUUGAAUUGCUGAUGUAGAAUACAGCAACUGAAUUAGGUGCUGCAGGCACAUCUGAACUAUGACUGAAAAUCCACAGGAUUCUAGAUUGAUACCUAUCCCUUUCCAACAAAUGCCAUCUUUUUUCUAUGGGAUCCUUUGGCUGAUGAUAUCUGCUCCCCAGAAGUGAUGUUACUUUAAGUAUAUAUAAUCUCGAUGGAUUCAUCUUCAGUGAAUGGUUAUACACCCAUGUGUGUAUGUGUUGCUUAUUUGUAUAUGUGUAUGCAAUGUCUCAAAACUGGAAUUGUCAUUUGUGAAGUGAGCAAGCCAAAAAGGAUUAUUGCAGUGGACUGCUCAACAGAGGAACUUCAUGCUGUGCCAAAAGUGCCAUUAAAGUUUCCUGCCUUCAAAGGCUGUGAAGUAUACAUGUCCCCAAUGCCUUUCAGUGUUUGUGCAGCAUUGUUGUUUCAAGGUUGCCCUGGGCUACAGUGGAUAUCGAAAAGGGGAAGCAAAUAGUUUGUUUUCCAAGAAGGCAGAGGUUGAUUUAGACCAGCGUGCAGUUGUGUGUGCAGAAGCUAAUGCAAUUAUUGUGAGUCUUGAGAGAGACCUGAGUAAUGCUGAACUUCAUCACCACAUGAAACCCUUACAGUGACUGUAUGAAACUGAUCGACUCAAAGGAGAUGGCAAAAGUCAUUUUGCUAAAGCGAAAUGGAAAUAAAUACAAAUGAAAGAGGACCACCCUGUCUUCCUGCCUCCCGGAUCAGGCUCUGCUCUCUUGUCCACUACCACAGGCUCAGUGUUACCCACAGCAGUUCUUCCCUCUUUGUGAAGAUGUGCUCUGCUAAAGGUGUUCAGUAGACAUUUACAUCAAGAACAGGAAUCUGGUGACCACAUAAGCAAGUGAUGAGAUAGAAUGUUCAAUGGACAACUGUGCCAGCUUUCAUGAGAGAUCGGCAGCAGUUGCUGCUUUUGGUUCCUUGUAGCUCUCCAUUCCAGGCCUCUGCUCACAGCUGCCUCAGAAAAACCCUCUGCUCCCCUCUUUCUCCAGCUCAGAAGUUGAGAUAUUUGGAGCCGUGUGCCCUCGGUGAAGGAUUGCUUCAGCUCAAACCAAGGGCAGGGGCUGGGAACAGAAAGUACUUCAUCCCCGAAAGCAGUUGAUCAAAAAUGAAUGUACUGUCAAAAAAAGCUGACAAGAAUAAGGCAUGAUUGUGAAGUGAAGGAUAUUCUUCUCUGGGCAAACAGGCUGAUACUGCCAAGGAUACAUUUGACAGCAGCAGUGUGGGAGCUCACACCCAGCAAGCAAGGAAAAUUACACAGGCAAGGAUGGGAAGGUGAUGCGUGAACUCAAUGCCGUGUGAGGACACCUCAGUAGUCACUGCUGCUACAGGUCGUCAACAAAGAACAGCCCCUUUUCAAAGUGAUAGAUCUACUGAAAUCAGGCAAGACUACUUGAAAUAAAUAACUAAACAAAGCAACAACAGAUUUUCAGGUUAAUAUAGGGUUCUACAGCUGUGAACUUUUUAAUGAAAUGAUUUGAUCAAUAGUGUUGUUACUGCCUCUGGCUCCACAGGGGUAAGUAACUACUGCCAAGAGUAGGUAUUGUUUUGUUUCUAAUUGUUAGACAGCUCUAAAGCACUGAGUUGCUACAAAUAUUCCCAUUGCCCUAAAGAGUAGUUCUGGUAGUAUCUUUGGCCCUUUUAAUUUUUAUUGAAUACAGCCCUGUACAUUCAUUACUUAUGUGUGUGGAGUCCCAGGAGACAUUCCACCUGGUGCCAAAAUUGCCUUUUGAAUAAGACUUUUCAGAAUAUUAAAAUGUGACUGCAACAACAACAAACUGCAAUUUCAAUACUUUGCUGAGGAAGUGGCAUGGAUUGUCACUGGAGAGUAACCUGAGGUGGAUAUUUUAGGGCAGAAUGGAGCAUUUGAGAUGCAAAAGGUGACGUUAAUUCCGCUGCUGCUCUUCCAGAUUAUGCCGGAGCAGCCUGGUUGCUUUGAAUGGGUUCAUAAAGGUUUUACUGAUGCCAAGAGCCUUUCAUUGAUCUGACAGGAGACCAGUUUCACUGUUCCUCUGUUAAGAAGCAAACUGGCUAACAUACAUAUGAUAAAAGCAAGAGCUUGAAAGUAGCAUAGUUUUAGGUUAUUGGGAAUUCUAGGUGACAGAUAUCCUGUGCUGCAAGUAAAUAAUGAACGAAAACAGUUUGAAAUGAAGGCUGGAGGCAAUUUGAAGUCAACCCAGCUGUACUUGGAAAAAGGAGUGACGGAGCCUCAAAAGGAAAGAAACAAGCUGUUUUAUUGGCUGGCUGACUCACACUGGUCAUUUUUUGUUUGAUUUUGACUAUGGUAGUAUAUGUUUGCCAAACCUUUCCCUGGCUGUACCUUUUUGUUUGAAUGUAACUAACACGGGGGCUUACAGAUGGGACAGAGAACAAGGAGAAUAAAACUGUGGGUUUAAAGUAA